Molecule: unclassified non-coding RNA, 319 nt
Filed under: Hevea brasiliensis (rubber tree)
Lineage: Eukaryota; Viridiplantae; Streptophyta; Magnoliopsida; Malpighiales; Euphorbiaceae
Source: RNAcentral
AAAGACUGUCACUCGGCCCAACCCAUUCAGAACCACAGUGCAAGUGCCAUUAAAGUCUAGGCCAAAAAUGAUCCUUAUAUGAUUUUCAUACCUAACGAAGUUACUACAGUGACAGCAAUACUAUCAUCAAAUAAUAGCAGGUAAUGUGAGUAAUACAAUUGUGCAUGUAUGCGCACAUAUGCUGUACUAUAAAUGCAUAUCAGGAAAAGCUUAAAAUGAGUAUUUCAUAAUCUAUUGCCAAUCCCAGGUCACACAUUCUUAAGACAUUAAUUUUCUUUCCAAGAGGAAAAAUAAUACCUUUGACAUGUGGGACUCCAAA